Molecule: ribosomal RNA, 253 nt
Filed under: uncultured bacterium
Lineage: Bacteria
Description: partial 16S ribosomal RNA
Rfam family: Bacterial small subunit ribosomal RNA
Source: RNAcentral
UACGUAGGGACCAAGCGUUGUUCGGAUUUACUGGGCGUAAAGGGCGCGUAGGCGGCAUGACAAGUCACUUGUGAAAUCUCCGGGCUUAACUCGGAACGGCCAAGUGAUACUGUCGCGCUAGAGUGCGGAAGGGGCAAUCAGAAUUCUUGGUGUAGCGGUGAAAUGCGUAGAUAUCAAGAGGAACACCAAUGGCGAAGGCAGCUCGCUGGAACGGUACUGACGCUGAGGCGCGAAAGCGUGGGGAGCAAACAGG